GGGGAGUUCGCAUAGCGGCAAUUGCAAGGGACUGUAAAUCCCUCGACUCGCGUCUCCAGAGGUUCGAGUCCUCUACUCCCCA
Non-coding RNA from Treponema bryantii, 82 nucleotides. The record is from Rfam. NCBI's taxonomy places the organism in Bacteria, Pseudomonadati, Spirochaetota, Spirochaetia, Treponematales, Treponemataceae.